RNAcentral lists this transfer RNA (77 nucleotides) under Spirochaetales bacterium. RNAcentral describes it as "tRNA-Lys". It matches the Rfam family "tRNA". From Rfam's summary of the family: Transfer RNA (tRNA) molecules are approximately 80 nucleotides in length. Their secondary structure includes four short double-helical elements and three loops (D, anti-codon, and T loops). Further hydrogen bonds mediate the characteristic L-shaped molecular structure. tRNAs have two regions of fundamental functional importance: the anti-codon, which is responsible for specific mRNA codon recognition, and the 3' end, to which the tRNAs corresponding amino acid is attached (by aminoacyl-tRNA synthetases). tRNAs cope with the degeneracy of the genetic code in two manners: having more than one tRNA (with a specific anti-codon) for a particular amino acid; and 'wobble' base-pairing, i.e. permitting non-standard base-pairing at the 3rd anti-codon position. The record is from RNAcentral. Lineage: Bacteria; Pseudomonadati; Spirochaetota; Spirochaetia; Spirochaetales.
GGGCCGUUAGCUCAGCAUGGUAGAGCAACUCCCUUUUAAGGAGUGGGUCGCAGGUUCGAGUCCUGCACGGCUCACAA